This is a long non-coding RNA of Cucurbita moschata (crookneck pumpkin), 534 nucleotides long. RefSeq lists it as uncharacterized. The transcript has 2 exons. Lineage: Eukaryota; Viridiplantae; Streptophyta; Magnoliopsida; Cucurbitales; Cucurbitaceae. The record is from RefSeq and is a predicted model, not a curated record.
CUCCAUUCUACCCUUUUCUUCUCGCUACUUUUAUGUACUUCGAUCAAUGAUGAUCUUCCUAAACCGAGAAAAUCCUUUAUACCCAUAUGAAAAUCGUCGCGUGUUUUUUGUUUUUCUUUUCUAGCUGGUGUUUGUAUUCGAUCGUUUUCCUUCUGUUCUGUUCGUUGAUUAUUGACUUGUUCUUUGACUUCACCUGUAUUUAUUGCUGUGGUUUCUGCCUUCGUUUGAUUUCUGUUUGACUGCUUGGAGCUGGGUUUUUUCUGUUUAGCAUGAUCAGAUCUUUGUUCUUAUGAUUAGCUAACCAAGCUUCAGGGUCAGAGUUUAGAAUGAAACCUAAUUCAAAGAUAUCUAUAUGGGAGGGGAAUUGAUUUUUAUGCCUUUUCUGCUUCUAUUAAGACCUGAGUAUCUAAGCAAUAAUUUGAGAAACCCUUCUAUAUGUUUCUAUGUCAAUUUCAUAUGUCUUUUCCAUUUCAAAGUUGACUCAAAACCGACUUGACAAGCACUCCUAAUAUUGCUACCUCUUUGAAAAGAGAG